GCGUCAUAGAGGGUGAGAAUCCCGUCUUUGGCACGGAAACCCCAGGGCUUUUGUGAUGCGCUCUCGAAGAGUCGAGUUGUUUGGGAAUGCAGCUCAAAAUGGGUGGUGAACUCCAUCUAAAGCUAAAUAUUGGCGAGAGACCGAUAGCGAACAAGUACCGUGAGGGAAAGAUGAAAAGCACUUUGGAAAGAGAGUGAAACAGUACGUGAAAUUGUUGAAAGGGAAACGCUUGAAGUCAGUCGCGUCGACCGAGACUCAGCCUUGCCCUUGGCUUGGUGUACUUCUCGGCUGACGGGUCAGCAUCAAUUUUGCCCCUUGGAUAAUGGCGAGGGAAAUGUGACACCUUUACGGUGUGUUAUAGUCUCUUGUCGCAUGCAAGGGUUGGGAUUGAGGAACUCAGCACGCACCUUUGGGUGUCGGGGCUUUGCCCACGAUACGUGCUUAGGAUGUUGGCGUAAUGGCUUUAAACGACCCGUCUUGAAACACGGACCAAGGAGUCUAACAUGCCUGCGAGUGUUCGGGUGGAAAACUCGUGCGCGCAAUGAAAGUGAAAGUUGGGACCUCUGUCGUGGAGGGCACCGGCGCCCGGACCAGACCUUCUGUGACGGCUCUGCGGUAAAGCAUGUAUGUUAGGACCCGAAAGAUGGUGAACUAUGCCUGAAUAGGGUGAAGCCAGAGGAAACUCUGGUGGAGGCUCGUAGCGAUUCUGACGUGCAAAUCGAUCGUCAAAUUUGGGUAUAGGGGCGAAAGACUAAUCGAACCAUCUAGUAGCUGGUUCCUGCCG
RNAcentral lists this ribosomal RNA (784 nucleotides) under uncultured Russula. Its description in RNAcentral is "partial 28S ribosomal RNA". It matches the Rfam family "Eukaryotic large subunit ribosomal RNA", at positions 200 to 963 of the family's 3401-position model. Lineage: Eukaryota; Fungi; Basidiomycota; Agaricomycetes; Russulales; Russulaceae. The record is from RNAcentral.